RNAcentral lists this unclassified non-coding RNA (179 nucleotides) under uncultured fungus. RNAcentral describes it as "sequence contains ITS1". Lineage: Eukaryota; Fungi. The record is from RNAcentral.
UUAACUAUUAUAUAGUUUCUCAGACUGCAAUGAUUCAAGAGUUUAGGUCCUCUGGCAGGCGCGGUCCAGCCGGAGCCGGGGGCCCGCCAAAGCAACAAAGUUUGGUAUACAAAGGGUGAGAAUAGGGCUGUGAAGCCUUGUAUUCUUUAAUGAUCCUUCCGCAGGUUCACCUACGGAAA